UACGUAGGGGGCAAGCGUUGUCCGGAUUUAUUGGGCGUAAAGAGCGUGUAGGCGGUUUGGUAGGUCCGCUGUGAAAACUCGAGGCUCAACCUCGAGACGCCGGUGGAAACCAUCAGGCUAGAGUCCGGAAGAGGAGAGUGGAAUUCCUGGUGUAGCGGUGAAAUGCGCAGAUAUCGGGAGGAACACCGGUGGCGAAGGCGGUUCUCUGGGCCUGUACUGACGCUGAGGAGCGAAAGCGUGGGGAGCGAACAGG
RNAcentral lists this ribosomal RNA (253 nucleotides) under uncultured bacterium. RNAcentral describes it as "partial 16S ribosomal RNA". It matches the Rfam family "Bacterial small subunit ribosomal RNA", at positions 524 to 776 of the family's 1533-position model. The record is from RNAcentral.